GUGUAUAACCAUGCCACCCUGAAUGAGCCCGAUCCUGUUUGAUCUUGGAAGCUAAGCAGGGUCGGUCCUGGUUAGUACUUGGAUGGGAGACCACCUAGGAAGACCAGGUACUGUAGGUG
RNAcentral lists this ribosomal RNA (119 nucleotides) under Pteropus alecto (black flying fox). The record is from RNAcentral. Lineage: Eukaryota; Metazoa; Chordata; Mammalia; Chiroptera; Pteropodidae.